GCACAGAGAUGUCCACAGGAUACAUAUGCCUGAGGUGAAGCACCUGUUGAAUGUCAGGACCUGAACAGGAAGUUAGGCUACAGUGGAAAGAACAAGAGCUAUUGGAGCACAGUAAUGGAGCAGGGACUAAGGGACCUGGUGGCCAAGGAAGCAAACAGAAGAGCAACUAGGUACAGAGGCCAUGGGAUGGGGCCACCCACAGUUUGGAAGCAGGACAUGGAGAUGUCCUGGACUGCUCUGUUAGGUUCACUAUGGGAGGUGUGAGUGUGGUAUCUAGACAGACCUGCCAGAACCAGGAGACAGGUUGGGACUAGAGGGCUUUCUGAGCUCUCGGUUCUGAGAAGCCCCUCCCUCAGUGCACUCUGACCACACAGAGAUGUUUCCUCAGGUGUUCCACACGCAGUCCUUGCCACACCAGUCAGAAGACAAGUCUCCUGUCUCCACCACCUUCCCCAUCAGGCAGAGUUCCAGAGCCUGCUGGGCUCCUGAUGAGGCAGCCAGACUGAUGGUGAUGCACAGAGAUGACAGGGGCACGCAACUGGUUGUCACUACCUUUGAGUUAAAGACCAAGAAAUCCAGGGAUAGAGUGAACAUCCUGGUACAACAGCUGGCCAGUUUCCCCUUGCCGGACACCAUGAUGCCUCAGCUCAUGCAGGGCCACGGCUCCCAGGUGAUCCUGCUGGCCUCCGGGUCAGAGCUGGUGGUGUUCACCAUACACGGCCUGCAGCUGGUAGCCUUUCAGGACCAUCAGAGGCCCAUCACAUCCAUGUGGGUGGUAAGUCCAGCACCACCACCCCCACCCGCCCACAGGAUGCUCUACCAUCAGGAGUCCACAUCCAUACCUUACUUGACUUCAUUUCAAGGACCUGAACCGAGUCAUCACCUCUUCGUUGGACCUGUCUUUGCGUGUCUAUCUGUGGAAUAAGGAAAAUAAACGUCCAGUCCUCAAGAGCUGCUAUCAUUUGCUUGAGGGAUCUCACAGAUAGGCCAGGUAAUUAAGAUUGGAUGCUUUAUUCCCUUUGCCUAUGAAAGUGCAAGCAGUGGUAUUUGUUUUCUUUCUUUUGGAACAAGGUCCUGUUAUCUUUCCCCGGCUGGCCUUGAACUUCCAGCCUCAAGUCAUCC
Molecule: long non-coding RNA, 1122 nt
Filed under: Nannospalax galili (Upper Galilee mountains blind mole rat)
Lineage: Eukaryota; Metazoa; Chordata; Mammalia; Rodentia; Spalacidae
Description: lncRNA (ENSNGAG00000024475.1)
Source: RNAcentral